GCUAGCAGAAGGCAAGAAAUAACUAAGAUCAGAGCAGAACUGAAGGAAAUAGAGACACAAAAAACCCUUCAAAAAAUCAAUGAAUCCAGGAGCUGGUUUUUUUGAAAAGAUCAACAAAAUUGAUAGACUGCUAGCAAGACUAAUAAAGAAGAAAAGAGAGAAGAAUCAAAUAGACGCAAUAAAAAAUGGUAAAGGGGAUAUCACCA
This 206-nucleotide long non-coding RNA is filed under the name Homo sapiens (human). RNAcentral's name for it is "lncAB127.1". The record is from RNAcentral. Lineage: Eukaryota; Metazoa; Chordata; Mammalia; Primates; Hominidae.